Molecule: unclassified non-coding RNA, 2400 nt
Filed under: Hevea brasiliensis (rubber tree)
Lineage: Eukaryota; Viridiplantae; Streptophyta; Magnoliopsida; Malpighiales; Euphorbiaceae
Source: RNAcentral
GAGAGAGAGAGAGAGAGAGAUAAGAUGGCAUCUGGGUCCAAUAAAGAAUUAGUAGGUUGACCGAAUUUUUGUGGGUACGUUGCGAAAUUUUAAGAAUGGACCGGCCUAAAAUGACAAAAAAAAGUGAAAGAGAAUAAAAAAAGAAAUGGACGGUUGGCAUUAUUGUCGGCAACACCAUCAUUAUAUUAUUAAUCCCUCAACAAUUGACAUUGAAAGGCGCUAUAGCACCAAAGUUGAGUCUUUUCGCUAUGAUGGAAAAUCCAGGGUUAGAAAAGAACAAAUGACAGAAAAGUUGACACAUGAAGAAUCUUGGAUGCCGUUUUGCAUUAUGCGUAUGCUGCCCUGAUAAAUUGUGAAACUACCUGCACUGUAUAAGUCAAUUUCCUACACCUGUAUAAUGGGAAAGGCUCUGGCGGUGGUGACUUCACCAGAAACUCCUUCAAGCAACAAGCUCUAGAGUCAUCUGCAAGGCCAUGCUCCAGAUUUGUAAGGUCUUAAAUUUGAAUUCCAUCAAAGCUAAAUGACCUUUUAUAUAUAUAUAUAUAUAAUCAAUUGCAGAUCCUCCAGAAACAUGCUAUCCAUUGAACUCCAUGCGCACAAUACACUAUCUGAACUUCUCUGUUUAAUCUCCUCAUGUAUAUGUAUGCAUACAUGAAAUGAACGAAGUUGAGCUAGAGCAUAGGGUUGACCUAAAAUUCAACUAGUCAAUUCAUGCACUCCAUUAUGUUUCUCUUUAUGUUUUUUUUUUUCAUUUGUUGUACAAUCGGCAAAAGGUAAAACAUGGCCUUUUAUAAAUAUUCUCACAAUUAUCUUUUCUACCAAUUAACUACAAAAGCAUGUAAAAAAGGCAUCCCAUGAUUAAUAUCAAUAUUCUCUUAAGAACACUUAGAACCAACAAACAACGGAUAGAAAAUAGCCAUGGUGCAUCUUUUCUUACUUAACCAAGAAGAUUAGAAAACUUAUUCCAUGAGUAAGAAUUUUACAAGUCGAUUCGCUCUGCACCCCACAAACAUGUCUUCACCCAUAACCGCCACUUUCUUCCUACAUAUUCUUUAAUAGUUUCCCAAUGCCUCAUGCAUAAUUAACAAUCUCAUAGCAUAAUUCUAUAAAACCAUAAACACUUACCAAUACCAUUCUCACCUAUCUUGAUAGCCUUAUCAAUUCCACAAUCUGAAUUGCAGCGCAUUCUGGAACAUAUGGCUUCUGACAAGGCCAUUGUUGUGGAUCUGGAUGCUUGCACCAGCAACAAACAAGCUACUGUAGCAGAUAAAAAGCCCAACAUGAAAGGUGCAGGCAACUCUAAUUUUGAGAAAGCACUGGCACAGAGAGCACUUUUUGGGUCACACAAUCAUCGGGUGAAGGGCAGAAAAACUGUCAACAAUGGUGCAAGAUUGUCGCCAAGCAGGCUAAGCAAGGUUUCUUUGGCUGAUGAAUAGGUAGGCAGAGGUAUAGGUCUUGUAUUAUUUAGCAUGUAAAAAUAUCUGUUGUUGCUUGUAUUGACAGAAAGAAAUGCAGAACAUAAGAUCCAAUCUGGAUUUGUUAAAGUGAAAGUAUAGAAUCUAACAAGAUUCCAAAUCUGUAAAUAGCAUGUGCAGUAUUAUUACUAAAACCAUUUAACAUGCAAUUUGCAUUAAAAUAGCAACUACAUGAUGCAUGUUAGAAAAGUAGAAUUUUGAUUCUAAUUGUAGUUGCGGGGAGACCACAUUGAGUUUACUAUCAGAAAAAACAUGAAACAUCAAAUAUUCUCCAGGAUAAUCCAGGUGGCAAAUACAUACCUGUAAUCAAGUAACCCACAGACAUCACGAUUUCCUAAUUCACAGCAAGUCAAGAUUUAUGGGUCUAGUAAAGCAUAAUAAAACCACUGAGCCAAGAGUAAUAUUAGAAAACAAAAGCCAGAGAUGAGGCUAACAAAGGAAUCUCAUAUAACAUGGUGAGUUCUUGAUAAAGGAGAAUCUAACUGCAAUUAACUUUUUCCAUUUUUGCAUAAGUUCACUGUAUGCACAAAUUCAACCUGCCUAUCAAUGCCAUGAUCGUUUUUUUCUUUUAGAAGGGGGAGGACAAGGGGGAUUCAUUUGCAAGGUCAACUAAUCACGAAUUUGGCAUGUGGACAUGCUAUGUCUCAAAUGUUAAAAGAAACUGAAAAAAAAUUAAAAAAUGCAUGCCAUAAAUAUCUAGAUGUUUUUUCUCAGUGAAGAGUGCUUUAAAUUUUUGUAUAAUGAAAAUUGGAAGGACAAAAAAUGUAAAACUGGAAUGAACAAAGACUAUCUAAUGUAAUGCAAUCACUUCUUAUACCAACUACACCAUCAUUAUCCUGGUCUAUAUGUAUCCUAGUUCAUCACCAUUCAAAUGAUCACUUCCCAUAAUUGGACAAUCUGAUGCAUCAUGUCCAAACUGCCCACA